Molecule: ribosomal RNA, 253 nt
Filed under: uncultured bacterium
Lineage: Bacteria
Description: partial 16S ribosomal RNA
Rfam family: Bacterial small subunit ribosomal RNA
Source: RNAcentral
UACGUAGGGUGCAAGCGUUGUCCGGAAUUAUUGGGCGUAAAGGGCUCGUAGGCGGUCCAUCGCGUCGGGAGUGAAAAGCUGGGGCUCAACCCCAGUCCUGCUUUCGAUACGGGUGGACUAGAGGUAUGCAGGGGAGAACGGAAUUCCUGGUGUAGCGGUGAAAUGCGCAGAUAUCAGGAGGAACACCGAUGGCGAAGGCAGGUCUCUGGGCCAUAACUGACGCUGAGAAGCGAAAGCAUGGGGAGCGAACAGG